AACGGCUUACCAAGGCAACGAUGCGUAGCCGACCUGAGAGGGUGAUCGGCCACACUGGAACUGAGACACGGUCCAGACUCCUACGGGAGGCAGCAGUAGGGAAUCUUCCGCAAUGGGCGAAAGCCUGACGGAGCAACGCCGCGUGAGUGAUGAAGGUCUUCGGAUCGUAAAACUCUGUUAUUAGGGAAGAACAAAUGUGUAAGUAAC
Molecule: ribosomal RNA, 207 nt
Filed under: Staphylococcus epidermidis
Lineage: Bacteria; Bacillati; Bacillota; Bacilli; Caryophanales; Staphylococcaceae
Description: partial 16S ribosomal RNA
Rfam family: Bacterial small subunit ribosomal RNA
Source: RNAcentral